UGGGGAAUAUUGGACAAUGGGCGAAAGCCUGAUCCAGCCAUGCCGCGUGGGUGAAGAAGGCCCUAGGGUUGUAAACCCCUUUCAGCGGGGAAGAUAAUGACGGUACCCGCAGAAGAAGCCCCGGCUAACUCCGUGCCAGCAGCCGCGGUAAUACGGAGGGGGCUAGCGUUGUUCGGAAUUACUGGGCGUAAAGCGCGCGUAGGCGGACCUGCAAGUCGGGGGUGAAAGCCCGAGGCUCAACCUCGGAACUGCCUUCGAUACUGCGGGUCUCGAGUCCGGGAGAGGUGAGUGGAAUUCCUAGUGUAGAGGUGAAAUUCGUAGAUAUUAGGAAGAACACCAGUGGCGAAGGCGGCUCACUGGCCCGGUACUGACGCUGAGGCGCGAAAGCGUGGGGAGCAAACAGG
RNAcentral lists this ribosomal RNA (404 nucleotides) under bacterium. RNAcentral describes it as "partial 16S ribosomal RNA". It matches the Rfam family "Bacterial small subunit ribosomal RNA", at positions 355 to 776 of the family's 1533-position model. RNAcentral also lists the same sequence under 1 other name. The record is from RNAcentral.